This 497-nucleotide ribosomal RNA is filed under the name uncultured bacterium. RNAcentral's name for it is "partial 16S ribosomal RNA". It matches the Rfam family "Bacterial small subunit ribosomal RNA", at positions 28 to 507 of the family's 1533-position model. The record is from RNAcentral.
GAUGAACGCUGGCGGCGUGCCUAAUACAUGCAAGUCGAGCGAACAGACGAGGAGCUUGCUCCUCUGACGUUAGCGGCGGACGGGUGAGUAACACGUGGAUAACCUACCUAUAAGACUGGGAUAACUUCGGGAAACCGGAGCUAAUACCGGAUCAUAUAUUGAACCGCAUGGUUCAAUAGUGAAAGCCGGUUUUGCUGUCACUUAUAGAUGGAUCCGCGCCGCAUUAGCUAGUUGGUAAGGUAACGGCUUACCAAGGCAACGAUGCGUAGCCGACCUGAGAGGGUGAUCGGCCACACUGGAACUAAGACACGGUCCAGACUCCUACGGGAGGCAGCAGUAGGGAAUCUUCCGCAAUGGGCGAAAACUUGACGGAGCAACGCCGCGUGAGGGAUGAAGGUCUUCGGAUCGUAAAACUCUGUUAUUAGGGAAGAACAAAUCUGUAAGUAACUAUGCACGUCUUGACGGUACCUAAGCAGAAAGCCACGGCUAACUACGUG